AUAUUUUGUAGCCCUGACGUACCAACUCUCUUCUGUGCCGAUUAUUAUUCAAAGAAUGGAAACUGUGUUCCCUGUCCUCCAGGAUACUUUGGACCCAAUUGUAGUCAUGCCUGUCCCUAUCCAACAUAUGGAGAGAAUUGUACAGAAGGCGAAUGUGAAUGUCCAAAGGAAUCAUGCAGCAUCAAAUAUGGAUGUGUAAAACAAAGUAGUAUGAGUCCAUGGUUAAUGUCAGCAAUAUUUAAAACCACGUCGUCACCAAUUCCCUCUCUUCAGGAGGAUCUCAAGGAAUCGACAAGUUAUUAUGCCAAGAAGCAAUACCAGGAUAAUUUUCACGAAAUGGCUAAUGAAACCAGAAGUAAAAUAGCAGCCGCAACAAAGUCGGAUGAUAUUCAGUAUCAGAGACGCUAUACAGCGACUAUUUUGAUUUCUGUCGCUGGAACAGCUAUUUCUGUCCUUUUGAUUGUGACCAUUGUAUAUCAAUUUAAGUCAAAAUGCCUUAAUCAUACUGAGAACCCAUUGCAUUUGUCUGUUACUUCUGUCUACGAAAGAGAGGGUGAAUAUUCAGAGGUAAUACGAAUUAACAAUUAAGUUUAUGAACAUUUUAUGUGUAAUUUGUUUUAUAAAUCUUGAUUGAUAACGUUUCCUUUGAAGAUUUUCACAGUAAAAGUUACUAUAAAACGUUUCAAUCCAUGUUCAUGAACUGAAAUCGAAGGAAAUGAAAUUACAUAAUGAUUAUACUCCCACACUGUUAAUUCGCUCAUUUUCAGACAUGAACAUCCUUUAUAGGAAACUCAAAGAGGUUUUUAAUAAGCUUUUAUUAUGAUAUGCUCUGAAUAAAUAUUCCAAUC
Saccostrea cuccullata (small rock oyster) is the source of this 848-nucleotide long non-coding RNA. RefSeq lists it as uncharacterized. Lineage: Eukaryota; Metazoa; Mollusca; Bivalvia; Ostreida; Ostreidae. The transcript has 3 exons. The record is from RefSeq and is a predicted model, not a curated record.